RNAcentral lists this ribosomal RNA (318 nucleotides) under uncultured bacterium. Its description in RNAcentral is "bacterial SSU rRNA". It matches the Rfam family "Bacterial small subunit ribosomal RNA", at positions 28 to 334 of the family's 1533-position model. The record is from RNAcentral.
GAUAAACGCUGGCGGCGCACAUAAGACAUGCAAGUCGAACGGACUUAACCAUUAGUUUACUAUUGGAGCGGUUAGUGGCGGACUGGUGAGUAACGCGUAAGCAAUCUGCCUAUCAGAGGGGAAUAACAGGUGAGAAAUCACUGCUAAUACCGCAUAAGCUGUGAGUAUCACAUGAUUACAAAUAGAAAAGGAGCAAUUCCGCUGAUAGAUGAGCUCGCGUCUGAUUAGCUAGUUGGCGGGGUAACGGCCCACCAAGGCGACGAUCAGUAGCCGGACUGAGAGGUUGAACGGCCACAUUGGGACUGAGACACGGCCCAG